UACAGAGGUCCCGAGCGUUGUUCGGAUUCACUGGGCGUAAAGGGUGCGUAGGUGGUGAGGUAAGUCGGAUGUGAAAGCUCGGAGCUCAACUCCGAAAUGGCAUUGGAAACUACCUUGCUAGAGGGUUUGAGGGGGGACUGGAAUACUUGGUGUAGCAGUGAAAUGCGUAGAUAUCAAGUGGAACACCAGUGGCGAAGGCGAGUCCCUGGAAAACUCCUGACACUGAGGCACGAAAGCUAGGGGAGCAAACAGG
This 253-nucleotide ribosomal RNA is filed under the name uncultured bacterium. RNAcentral describes it as "partial 16S ribosomal RNA". It matches the Rfam family "Bacterial small subunit ribosomal RNA", at positions 524 to 776 of the family's 1533-position model. The record is from RNAcentral.